CCUACGGGAGGCAGCAGUGAGGAAUAUUGGUCAAUGGGCGAGAGCCUGAACCAGCCAAGUCGCGUGAAGGAUGACGGCCCUACGGGUUGUAAACUUCUUUUGUCAGGGAGCAAUUUGGUCCACGCGUGGUCUUAGCUAGAGUACCUUAGAAAAAGGCAUCGGCUAACUCCGUGCCAGCAGCCGCGGUAAUACGGAGGAUGCGAGCUUUAUCCGAAUUUAUUGGGUUUAAGGGGUGCGUGGGAGGAAUAUCAAGUCAGCGGUAAAAAUUCGGGGCUCAACCCCGUAGUGCCGUUGAAACUGGUGGUCUUGAGUGGGCGUGAGGUAGGCGGAAUGCGUGGUGUAGCGGUGAAAUGCAUAGAUAUCACGCAGAACUCCGAUUGCGAAGGCAGCAUACCGGCGCCCAACUGACGCUGAAGCACGAAAGCGUGGGUAUCGAACAGGAUUAGAUACCCGAGUAGUC
Molecule: ribosomal RNA, 460 nt
Filed under: uncultured bacterium
Lineage: Bacteria
Description: partial 16S ribosomal RNA
Rfam family: Bacterial small subunit ribosomal RNA
Source: RNAcentral